GGAUUAGAUACCCUGGUAGUCCACGCAGUAAACGGUGAUCACUAGGUGUAGCGGGUAUUGACCCCUGCUGUGCCGCAGCUAACGCAUUAAGUGAUCCGCCUGGGGAGUACGGCCGCAAGGUUAAAACUCAAAGGAAUUGACGGGGCUCACACAAGCGGUGGAGCAUGUGGCUUAAUUCGAAGCAACGCGAAGAACCUUAUCCUGGGUUUGACAUGUAUGGAUUAACUCCUGGAAACAAGAGCCACGCCUUUUAGGUGGAACAUACACAGGUGCUGCAUGGCUGUCGUCAGCUCGUGCCG
RNAcentral lists this ribosomal RNA (299 nucleotides) under uncultured bacterium. RNAcentral's name for it is "partial 16S ribosomal RNA". It matches the Rfam family "Bacterial small subunit ribosomal RNA", at positions 775 to 1067 of the family's 1533-position model. The record is from RNAcentral.